CUACGGGUCGCAGCAGUGAGGAAUAUUGCACAAUGGGGGAAACCCUGAUGCAGCAACGCCGCGUGGAGGAUGACGCAUUUCGGUGUGUAAACUCCUUUUAUCAGAGAAGAAAAUGACGGUAUCUGAUGAAUAAGCUCCGGCUAACUCCGUGCCAGCAGCCGCGGUAAUACGGAGGGAGCAAGCGUUAUUCGGAAUCACUGGGCGUAAAGGACGCGUAGGCGGGUUUUUAAGUCAGGUGUGAAAUCCUAUGGCUCAACCAUAGAACUGCACUUGAAACUGGGGACCUAGAGUAUGGAAGGGGCAGGUGGAAUUAGUGGUGUAGGGGUAAAAUCCGUAGAUAUCACUAGGAAUACCGAAAGCGAAGGCGACCUGCUGGGACAUUACUGACGCUGAGGCGUGAAAGCGUGGGGAGCAAACAGGAUUAGAUACCCGAGUAGUC
RNAcentral lists this ribosomal RNA (439 nucleotides) under uncultured bacterium. RNAcentral's name for it is "partial 16S ribosomal RNA". It matches the Rfam family "Bacterial small subunit ribosomal RNA", at positions 339 to 795 of the family's 1533-position model. The record is from RNAcentral.